RNAcentral lists this ribosomal RNA (484 nucleotides) under uncultured bacterium. Its description in RNAcentral is "partial 16S ribosomal RNA". It matches the Rfam family "Bacterial small subunit ribosomal RNA", at positions 29 to 507 of the family's 1533-position model. The record is from RNAcentral.
AGUGAACGCUGGCGGCAGGCCUAACACAUGCAAGUCGAGCGGCUGAAGAGUACUUGCUUCUGGAUUCGGCUGCGGACUGGCGGGUAAGUCCUGGGAAUAUCGCUGGCUGUUUUUUCGAACGGGCUGAAGUGGGCGCUAUUACCGUAUACGCCCUUACGAAGAACGGGUGAAAGCUUCGGAUCUCAGGCUAUCACAUGAUCCUAGGUCGGAUUAGCUAGUUGGUGGGGUAAAGGCCUACCAAGGCGACGAUCCGUAACUGGUCUGAGAGGAUGAUCAGUCACACUGGAACUGAGACACGGUCCAGACUCCUACGGGAGGCAGCAGUGGGGAAUAUUGGACAAUGGGCGAAAGCCUGAUCCAGCCAUGCCGCGUGUGUGAAGAAGGUCUUCGGAUUGUAAAGCACUUUAAGUUGGGAGGAAGGGCAGUAAGUUAAUACCUCGCUGUUUUGACGGUACCAACAGAAUAAGCACCGGCUAACUUCGUG